GGCUUUUUGUAAUUAAUUUAAAGUUAGGCCUGCCCCCUGAUUAAUUAAAGGGCCGCGGUAUUUUGACCGUGCUAAGGUAGCAUAAUCAUUAGUUUCUUAAUUAGAAGCUGGAAUGAAUGGUUUAAUGAAAAAUUAACUGUCUCAAUUUAAAUUUUAUUGAAUUUUAUUUUUAAGUUAAAAAGCUUAAAUAUUUUUAAAAGACGAGAAGACCCUAUAGAGUUUAAUAAAAUGCUAAUUUUUUAUUUUUAGAAUUAUUAAUAAAAUUUUAUUAUUUUAUUUGAUUGGGGCGAUAAAAAAAUUAAAAUAACUUUUUUUAUAAAGUACAUUAAUUUAUGAAUUAUUGAUCCAUAGAUAGUGAUUAUAAGAUUAAAUUACCUUAGGGAUAACAGCGUAAUUUUUUUUUAGAGUUCAAAUUAAAAGGAAAGAUUGCGACCUCGAUGUUGGAUUAAAUUUAAUUUUUGGUGUAGAAGCUAAAAAUUUAGGUCUGUUCGACCUUUAAAAAUUUACAUGA
RNAcentral lists this ribosomal RNA (511 nucleotides) under Hedypathes betulinus. RNAcentral's name for it is "partial large subunit ribosomal RNA". It matches the Rfam family "Bacterial large subunit ribosomal RNA", at positions 1817 to 2603 of the family's 2925-position model. The record is from RNAcentral. Lineage: Eukaryota; Metazoa; Arthropoda; Insecta; Coleoptera; Cerambycidae.